Molecule: ribosomal RNA, 374 nt
Filed under: Godiva quadricolor
Lineage: Eukaryota; Metazoa; Mollusca; Gastropoda; Nudibranchia; Glaucidae
Description: partial 16S ribosomal RNA
Rfam family: Archaeal large subunit ribosomal RNA
Source: RNAcentral
AAUGGCCGCAGUACUCUGACUGUGCUAAGGUAGCGUAAUCAGUUGGCUUUUAAAUGGAGUCGGGUAUGAAUGGAAUAACCGGGUUUAGCUGUCUCUUAGGUACUUACUUUAAUUUGCUUUUUAAGUGAAAAAGCUUAAAAAAACAAAAAAGACGAGAAGACCCUUAGAAUUUUAAUUACAAUCAACAUCGUUUUUAUUGGGGCAAUAAAGAAACACUAAAAAACUUUCUUAAUUUACAAGCCGAUAAUUUUAAGUCAGAAUAAAUUACCUGAGGGAUAACAGCAUUAUUUUAAAAUUAAGUUUGUGACCUCGAUGUUGGACUAGGAAACUGGCAGGCUAGCCGUUUGCCAUGUUGGUUCUGUUCGAACUGUUUA